CCCAGUUCUUCCGGUGUCUGUGUGUGAGGCUGGACAGGAGAAGGGAUCACUUCCCAUCUGCUUACCAGUAACCUCUCACAGAGGAAAUGCCUUGCAGGAGGAUCAGGGGAAGCUUUAUCUGAUACACACUACAUACACAGUGUAUAACUAGUCCUGCAGCUCUAAUAUCAUCAAGCGGACUGGUCUAGGAAAGACAUAGGAAUGAAAUUACUUUGCAAAUAACCAUUCAAACAGGGGGGAAAAACACUCAAAG
Molecule: non-coding RNA, 253 nt
Organism: Pelobates cultripes (western spadefoot toad)
Lineage: Eukaryota; Metazoa; Chordata; Amphibia; Anura; Pelobatidae
Source: the annotation of a GenBank genome assembly